CCUACGGGAGGCAGCAGUGGGGAAUAUUGGACAAUGGGGGGAACCCUGAUCCAGCGACGCCGCGUGAGUGAAGAAGUAUUUCGGUAUGUAAAGCUCUAUCAGCAGGGCAGAAAGAAAUGACGGUACCUGACCAAGAAGCCCCGGCUAACUACGUGCCAGCAGCCGCGGUAAUACGUAGGGGGCAAGCGUUAUCCGGAUUUACUGGGUGUAAAGGGAGCGUAGACGGCGAUGCAAGUCUGAAGUGAAAGGCGGGGGCCCAACCCCUGGACUGCUUUGGAAACUGUAUGGCUGGAGUGCAGGAGAGGUAAGUGGAAUUCCUAGUGUAGCGGUGAAAUGCGUAGAUAUUAGGAGGAACACCAGGGGCGAAGGCGGCUUACUGGACUGUAACUGACGUUGAGGCUCGAAAGCGUGGGGAGCAAACAGGAUUAGAUACCCUAGUAGUC
RNAcentral lists this ribosomal RNA (443 nucleotides) under uncultured bacterium. RNAcentral describes it as "partial 16S ribosomal RNA". It matches the Rfam family "Bacterial small subunit ribosomal RNA", at positions 338 to 795 of the family's 1533-position model. The record is from RNAcentral.